Non-coding RNA from Penaeus vannamei (Pacific white shrimp), 181 nucleotides. The record is from RefSeq and is a predicted model, not a curated record. Lineage: Eukaryota; Metazoa; Arthropoda; Malacostraca; Decapoda; Penaeidae.
GACACCUCCUGGAGAAGCCACUCUACUUCACAGGCAGAUCGACAUAACAUACUCCCCCAGGAGAACAUAAGUGCAGCAGGCCUUUCAGGGUCCGAAGUCAGUGACAGUGGACUCACUUCUGAAGAUGAAGACAGCAGGGCAUUGUACCGAAACGUGAAGAACCUUAGCCUGAGCCCUGGGG